AAUGACUAUCAUGUAUAAAUAUUAAUUUUCAUACGAGUAAGUCCUUUUGUUUAGCUUCAGCAAGAGGAAAAAGAAAUGAAAGCAAGCAUGCUAAAUCGUAGGCUUGGAGACUUACCAAUGAAAUACCUGGGGAUACAUGUGUCUUAUAAUGUGUUAGGCAUACGGGCCUUUUAGGGUAUGUCUGACAAGAUAAUGAAAAGAUUGGAUCCAUAGAAAGGGAAGUGGAUGACUUCUGGAGGUAACUGCAUCCUCACAAAUUCUUGUCCAAGCAAUCUUCCAAAGUAUAUCGUUAGGAAGGACUUGGGAGAUUCCUCUAAGACGAAGUUUGCAAGGGAAAGAUAUUUUGGAAUGAGAGGAACUGCUGGAUCUGUUAAGUAAUGUCCAGUUAAAUGUUUUGGAACAGGAGGUACUUGAAUGUUCAUCCUUGUAUAUGUGCUAAUCUGCAAAUGCAAAAUUCCUCUGAAGAUUAAAUUAUUCUUAUGGCAUGUUUUCCAUAAUAAACUACAAAUAGUUGCCACCCUAAAAAUAAAUGGGGUGGGAGCACUUUAUGUUGUGUAUAAGCCUGAAAACGGUUAAGCAUAUCCUUUCCAAGUGCGUUUUUGCUCAAUAUGUUUGGUGUUGUACCAGGGAUGCUUUUGAUUUACAGGGCUUUCCAACAUCUACCUGAGAUAUUCUUGUAUGCCUACUCAUCUAGCCUCUCUAAAAACUUUGACCUCAUUAAUCUCAUGAUUGUCAUCAUCAGCAUUUAAAGAAACAGACGUCGUAUCAUGACCAUUAUAGAUGUACUUGUAAAGGUAUUUCUUUAAAUGGUGCUAAUGACAACUAUGAGAUUAAUGAGAUCCUAGAUGAGUAGGCCUACAAGAGGCUUUAAGGAGAAUCUAUGGGUUUGGUCUUAAUGGUAUCUUACCCUAGUGCAGCAACUACAACUUCACCUUCCAGGUGUAGCGUUUUGAAUGCGCAGGGAGUGGAAAAGGCGAUGUUAACUGAGUUUUUAAGGCAAAUUUUUAAGAUGCACAAGGAGUUUGGAAUCCUGCGUCGAAAAAUGAACACCUAAAACACACAAGUUGGUCGGAUCAUCUUAGUAUAUCCUAUCAAAGGGGAGACAUUAUCUAAGAGUGGUAAUAAACCACGUGUGAGGUCCACCUCAUAUGAGUAUCUAAGGACAGUUGAAGGAACCAAGGUCAUAUCAUCUAGACCUAAGUAUGGGCCACCCGAUCCGGUCGACCCACCCGAAAAAUACCUUACCUAGUCGGGCCGGGCCAAUGUGUUGGGCGGGCUCGGGCUUGGGGCAAAAAUUAAACCUGUGGGCCUUACCUGGUCCUCUUCUCUUUGAUCCCGACUCGGCAGCCGCCACGCGACUCACGCCGCCGCAAGUGUAGAUCCCCCCAUGCCCCAGCCGUCAACAUCCUCCAGGAGCACAGGCACAACCACACAGCUUGCUGACCACCGCCUGACGACAUCUCCAUCAGCAUCAGGCGUCAGCAGGUAAUCUGCAAGACUCCGUCCACCACUACUAGUACUGCUUUGCGUUCUAAAAUAUGAACUUUUGAUAGCAAAUAGCAUUUACGUUCUAGAAUCUAGAUAGCUAGUAGUACUUAGUCGUACUUACGUUCUGCAUAUCUAGGUACUAGCUUUAGAUAUUAAAAUAAUUUAUUUAUUUGGAGUUGGCAGACUGCUCACUUAUACGUUUUUGCCUAUUUAUUAUUAGAUUGGCCAUUGGUCAUUUGCUUCAAGACAUGGCAAGCAACAGCUGGAGUGAAGAGGAGGAAGAGAUCCAAGAGGUCAAUGCUCAAGCAAAUUCAGAGCAGCAGCAUGAUGGAGCCGUAGAGCCAGAUGUUAUUGUGACUGUGUGAGACUGAGGUUCAAUUUCUAAUGUGUGACAGUAUGAGACUGAAGAUGUUAUUGUAAAUUUGUUAUUUCUGAACUCAUUGUACCAUGUAAUCAUCUCUGUUGUUCUGAGCUGUAGUAAAAUCAAUAUUAUAUUAUAUUACUUGAUGGCAUUAGCCAUGUACCCCCUCCAGUCUGCACUGUGCAGACAUGCACACAGGCGGGCUCGGGCCAUGAUUAUGUAUUUUCUAUCGGGCUACGGGCGGUUUGGAGCCAAAGUGUUUUCAUGUUGGGUUUUGUGUGGCCCGGCCCGACCCGGUAAAUGAUCAGGUCUAAUAUCAUCCAUAUAUCGUCGUGUCAUAUCUUUUCCACUACUGAUAAAUGGUGUCGGUAGAACUAAUCUUUUGCCCAAGACACACAUUUGGUUUUUUGCUUGGUAUAGAUCUACCUGUAUUUUUGCUUGAAUAUUGAGUCAAUACUUUUAUACAGAUAGGUCACCAUUGAGAUCGGACACAACGACUGUACAAAUAGAGCACACAUCAUUGUUACUAAGUUUUCUAUGAUACAUAAUUAACUAAGUAUAUAUUGUCACAAGCUAAAACACAUCGUCAUCUCCUAUCUUUCAAUCCGGUAUCACAGUUGGCAAAUAAUCUCAUUUGAUUUCUAGAAAAUUGUUGACAAAACAAGUCCUUGGAUUUUUUUAUCAACGAGCGUCGAAUUAUUGUAAUUCAGAACAUGAUUUCUAAGAACACGAUUAUUUUGAACUAUAUCAUUUUAAUUUUUAACGAUUUUGUAAUAACCACUCACUCUUCAGUCCGUGUGUAGUAUGAUGAUCUGGGUUGAAAUAAACGUUGUUGUGGUCCGAGCUUUUGAACCAUCCUUUAUUACGAUGAAAGAGUUACAACAAUAAUAUAUGUGAUUACUAAACAUAAAAAUUAAGUAAAUGUUAAAAGAUUUUAGCUAGAGAAUAAAUUAAUGUGUCUCUUGUUACGUCACAACAUAGUUCCAAUAAUUAUGCUCUUGUUAACUUUAGCUAACUCUGAACGCAGAACAUUUUUUUUGCAAGAGGUCAGACCAUACUCUCACGAUGAUUAGAUUCAAUGUUUUUUAAAAACUGUCGUUAUGUAAAGUCUUCCACCGAUAUGCUCUAAUGACUCCAAAUGAAAAACUUUGCCAACAAUAUCUGCAAUAUCUGCAUGCUUGCUUAGUUAAAUUUAAAUAAAUUUUUUGCUUCUAUCAAUAUGAUUAUAAACCACAUAAAAGGAAGGGUCAUUAUCUAGAAAUGUCUCAUUAUAUAUUUGGAUGACCUCAUAAAAUAGUAUAAGAUGAUCUAGAUAGGGAGGAAAUUGUAUUAGAAUGAUGAAUGGCUCCAUAUUAGUACAUUUCCGCAAUUUCAACUAUAUACUAUGCUUAAUAUUCUGAAAGUUAAGAUCGCCGAAUUUGGAUCGAACAACACUCUUUUCAAUAUGUAUAGAGUGUCGUCCGGUCUAAACUAGCAGAUCUUAACUUUUGAAAUAUUAGGCAUAGUCUAGGGUUGACAUUAGGAAGACGUAUUACCGUGGAGCCAUUUACCAUGCAAAUUCAAUUUUCUCUCUAUCUAAAGCAUCUUAUAACAUUGCAUGAGAUGGUCCAACAAUAUAAUAUGACGUUCGUAGUUAACGACCCUAACUUCUAUGUGGUUUAUACUCAUAUAAAGAGAGAAGCAUAUAAAUUAUUUAAAUUUAACUAAGCAUGUGAAUUUUGCAUACAUUACUGGUAUAGUUCUUCAUUUGAAUCCAUUAAAGCAUAUCAGUGAAAUGUCGUACAGAGAGACCACACUAAUUGAUUUGAGGUCACACUAAUACAUAACUAUAUUUUUUUAAAAAAAAUUAAAAAUUUGUUAGCUUUUAUUCAAACAAUUAAGGUUUGAUUUAUUGGUCGAAUCAAACAUCAUGUGAGUAUGGUCUGACGUCUUGCAAAGAAAUGCUCUACGUUAGAAGUUAACUAAAGAUAAUAAUAACAUAAUUAUUAGAACUAUGUUUGCGGCGUAACAAAAAGACACAGUAUUUUAUCCUCUAACUAAAAUAUUUGAAUAUUUACUCAAUUUUCAUGUUUAUUAAUCUUAUACUAUAGGUCUAACUCUUUCAUUAUAACAAUAGGAUGCUUGGAAAGCUUAGACCACAACACCAUUCAUUUCAACCCAGAUCAUCACACUACACAUCGAUUGAAGAGUUAGUGGUUCUUAUAAAAUAGUUAAAAAAAUGAUAUAAUUUAAAAUAAUUAUUUUCUUAUUAAUCAUGUUCUAAAUUACAGCAGUUCGGCGCUCGUUGAUUCAAAAUCCAAGGACUCAUUUCAUCAACAAAAUUCAUGAAAACAGAUGGGCUUAUUUGGCAAUUGUGAUACCAGAUUGAGACAUGUUAUAGCUUGUGAUAAUAUAGACUUUGUUGGUUAUGUAUUAGUGAAAACUUAGUAACAAUAAUGUGUGCUCUAUUUGUAUUGGUCGUUGCGUCCGAUCACAAUGGUGACCUCUGUACAAAACUAUAUAUUCAAUAACCAAGCAAAAAACAGAUAGAUCUAUAUCGAGGCUUAGUUGAUAGUUUGUUUGCAGGAGAAAACCAAGCGCGUGCCUUGGGUAAAAGAUUGGUUCUACCGAUGCCAUUUAUUGGUGGUGUAAGGGUUAUGAGACAAUGAUACAUGGAUGAUAUGACCUUGGCACAGAAGUAUGGAAAAUCAAACUACUUCCUCACCAUGACUUGUAAUCCAAAUUUGGAGGAAAUAACUAGGGAGCUUGAAACAAACCUAACUCCACUGGACCGAUCAGACAUUGUUGAGAGUAUUUAGAGCCAGCUAGAAGACCUCAAAGCAUCAGCUCUUCCAUAAACACAUUCUUGGAAUCUUGGCAGCACAAGUCCAUGUCAUUGAGUUCCUUCUUAUCAUGCAACACGGCUACAAGCUAACAUGCCCCAGAGCAAUACAACAUUAUUUCCGAGAAAAAAUUUGCAACCUAAGUUUCCAAACUAGGUAGCCCUAAACAGGAACUUUUUCACACAGGCUUGCAAAGAACACAAUACCAACACCAUGUUUGCUGAACAGUCUGACUUGGAACACACAGACUUGCUAAAUUUCCUAUUCCCAAUCCCCCAUUACCCCAUGAUUAGUUCGCCCAAAAGAAAACCAGGAAAAAAACUCUACCAUCACCAUCUAACAAAAUGGCUACUACAAUACUAUCACUAGCAGAAAUGGAUUCUAACAGAACAUCAUCACCAUGUUUGCUAAAAUUACAGAGAGGGUUUGAACAUCAGAACAUGCUAAAUCGCCUGUUCACCAUCAUCCAUUUGCGAUUGAGACAAUACGAGGUAAAUAAAUGCUACUACCAACGAUACAGCAAACUCUGAUCGGAUGAGAACAUGACGAGUCUGUGAUCGCUUACCGAAAAUAACAUCACUAAUUGGUGCCACGCUGGUGCUAGCGAUGGAUCCAAUCCAACGAAUAACUCCAUUCCCCAAAACAAAGACUACCAUGGCAUCACCACGACGAAAAACCCUGAUCCUACCGGCCUACCGGGUACAAGUUACUACAACUAUGGACCAGAAGAAAUCGCCAAGCAAGAGAAAUCAUGCGAGCACAUCAUAGAACGAACGGGAUAUCGAUAAGAUCACAAGAGGAGAGGGGUCGGCGCGCAAGCGACAUUGCCGGGCCGCGCUUCUGGUUGAAGUAGUUCUUGAGGCAGAUCCAGUGCUUCUGCGCGGGUACCCCUUGAUCUGGUUGAAGUAAGUCCUUGGCGGUCUCCGAUCCAGGAACGUCGCCUCCUCCCCCACCGUAUUGUGCGGGAUGGAAGGCACUUCGGAAAACUAGUGGUGUGAUUGUGUGAAUGGAGAAACGGAAGCUUUGGCUGGGUAAUGGUGCCGGUGAGUCAGGUUUUAUAGGCAGGCGGCC
RNAcentral lists this long non-coding RNA (5742 nucleotides) under Zea mays. Its description in RNAcentral is "long non-coding RNA (ZMAY_LNC000113)". Lineage: Eukaryota; Viridiplantae; Streptophyta; Magnoliopsida; Poales; Poaceae. The record is from RNAcentral.